This 226-nucleotide long non-coding RNA is filed under the name Gallus gallus (chicken). The record is from RNAcentral. Lineage: Eukaryota; Metazoa; Chordata; Aves; Galliformes; Phasianidae.
UGUAGACAAUGAUUCCAAUGACUGAAGCAAUAAUCAAAAAAAUCCAGAAGAAGACUGCACUUGUACAUAAUGUUAUACGCACGCACUUCCCACAGGCAGUGUAUGGCACGUGUUCCUCUUGCUGUGUGAUUUCAUUCACUACUACGUGAGUGCACUGAGCUUCAUAUUCUGGGCGAAUUUGUUCUUCUUGCUCUAAGUACUCCACUGUGUCCCAUUCAUACUCCAG